This 195-nucleotide long non-coding RNA is filed under the name Cebus imitator (Panamanian white-faced capuchin). Its description in RNAcentral is "lncRNA (ENSCCAG00000038178.1)". Lineage: Eukaryota; Metazoa; Chordata; Mammalia; Primates; Cebidae. The record is from RNAcentral.
GGGGAAGGCGGUGCUCGUGCUGCUGGGCAGCGGAGCGUUUCAGACAAAGAGCCACGCAUUGGGGGUUCAGAGUGAGAAGCGGCAGCAGGCAGGAGACCUCGGUGAAGUGUGAAAGCCCCAGAAGCUAGGUGAGUGCUACUGCUCAGGGCCUUCUCCGACCAGAUUGGCCAUCCUCAAACUUCAGUUUGGCUCCGU